RNAcentral lists this non-coding RNA (30 nucleotides) under Rattus norvegicus (Norway rat). The record is from RNAcentral. Lineage: Eukaryota; Metazoa; Chordata; Mammalia; Rodentia; Muridae.
GACAUCUUUGUGUGUUGCUGUAUUAGAAAA